GAUGAACGCUGGCGGCGUGCCUAAUACAUGCAAGUCGAGCGAACAGACGAGGAGCUUGCUCCUCUGACGUUAGCGGCGGACGGGUGAGUAACACGUGGAUAACCUACCUAUAAGACUGGGAUAACUUCGGGAAACCGGAGCUAAUACCGGAUAAUAUAUUGAACCGCAUGGUUCAAUAGUGAAAGACGGUUUUGCUGUCACUUAUAGAUGGAUCCGCGCCGCAUUAGCUAGUUGGUAAGGUAACGGCUUACCAAGGCAACGAUGCGUAGCCGACCUGAGAGGGUGAUCGGCCACACUGGUACUAAGACACGGUCCAGACUCCUACGGGAGGCAGCAGUAGGGAAUCUUCCGCAAUGGGCGAAAGCCUGACGGAGCAACGCCGCGUGAGUGAUGAAGGUCUUCGGAUCGUAAAACUCUGUUAUUAGGGAAGAACAAAUGUGUAAGUAACUAUGCACGUCUUGACGGUACCUAAUCAGAAAGCCACGGCUAACUACGUG
RNAcentral lists this ribosomal RNA (497 nucleotides) under uncultured bacterium. RNAcentral's name for it is "partial 16S ribosomal RNA". It matches the Rfam family "Bacterial small subunit ribosomal RNA", at positions 28 to 507 of the family's 1533-position model. The record is from RNAcentral.